Mus caroli (Ryukyu mouse) is the source of this 850-nucleotide non-coding RNA. The record is from RefSeq and is a predicted model, not a curated record. NCBI's taxonomy places the organism in Eukaryota, Metazoa, Chordata, Mammalia, Rodentia, Muridae.
GUUUUAACACGAAGUAAAACAGAAAGGGCACUACUGAAAAAACAGAAUCCCGUCCGUCCUUUCAGGGGAAGGAAAUUGGCUUGCAAACCUCACUCUUCUCUCUCUGUUUGCCUCAGAUUCUACCUGUUUAGAUUUCAGACUGGCCCUGGAUCUUGGGCUACAAUAUAGGGCCCAUCAUCACCCUAAGAACAGAGCUGACAGGUUUAAGGGUGAUGCAGCUUGGGGAGGCCUGCACACUGAAGCAGGGCAAGGAAGAACCAAGCUAUUCCUAGAUUAGGCUGGGCAGAAACUGAGCAGGCCCUCAGGAAUAAAGGACAGGCAUAUUCACGGUGAGCGUGCAGAGGGUACCUGCAGAUGCCCAGCUGCUUAUCAACCUGGGGAAUAGGCUGCAGGUCCUGCAGGUGUUACAGGUUGGAAUGUAAGAUGGUUCGGCUGCUGUGAAGAAUGCUGUAUGACAAUCAACAUGUUUACUGUGGACCUACCACAGGACCAGUCAUUCUCUCUGUGGAUAUUACAGCCAUGGCAUAGAAGUGCUGUUUCAAACAGUCAAAAGACAAGAGUCAGGGAAGUGACUGCCAAUGUACAAAAGAUGAACUGCACAUUUAAAAGAAAGCUUUUAAAUGAUGGGGCCAGAGAUGGCUCAGUAGUGAAAAGUGCUUCCAACUCUUGCAGAGAACCUGAUUUUGGUUCCUGGCACCCACACGGCAGCUCACAACCACCUGUAAUUCCAGUUCCCAGGGAACUAGUGCCAUCUCCACAGAUACCACGCAUACACAGGUUGCACAUAACAUACAUGCAGGCAAACACUUAAACACAUAAAAAUAAAAUAAAAAAGAUACAUCUUUUAAAA